RNAcentral lists this long non-coding RNA (319 nucleotides) under Homo sapiens (human). RNAcentral describes it as "non-protein coding lnc-HIST1H2AI-3:12". Lineage: Eukaryota; Metazoa; Chordata; Mammalia; Primates; Hominidae. The record is from RNAcentral.
CUCCUGCCUCCGCCACGCGAUGCCUCUUCAUGGGUGGUGGAUGAAGAAACUGAACAGGGCCAUGAUCCUUAUCUGUAAUUUCCCGGCUACCACACUGCUUUGGUGGUCUUCCCUCGUCUCUUCCUGGGUAGAAACAACUACCUGGAGAUCCCAAUGUUCUUGUCAGUGCACUUUUCAUGGACUGCAGUGGUAAGACGAUGUGUUGGAUGCCCAAACACAAACCAAGAGCCCUCUACCUUCGCAAUUCCCGGUGCUGUGGAGCUGUCAGAGUUUUAACAUCUCAACCAAGCCACAUGGAUACUAUUUCCUCAGAAAAGAC